CCCCCUCCUCCCCCCUGCCUUCUUCUUCUUCUUCUUUCCCACAUAUACCACUCCCUCAACCAUUUUCUACUAUAGCCACCACCCUCUCCACCAAUCAGCCACCUAACCUCUUUCCCUCUCCUCCUCCUUCACUGGCGCCGCCCUCUUCCUCCUUUAGCUCGCCGGAAAAAGAAGAAAAGUUGGUGGAGGAGCUGUGCUUCGGCUACCACUUCUAGAACAGCGUCUUACCAGCCAUAUUUUGCAAAUCUGACAUCAGAAACAGACUCCCCACCACUAGAAACCUUAAGAGCAAUCCUUCCUUCUAUUUUUUCAUCGUCGGAAGCUCUGUCCAAGACUCAACAGAGCUGAAGCUUUCCGGCCUCAAUCCGGUGGCUUCCGGUGAGAUUUCGACAAAUAUAUUUAUAUAUUUGGACUCCUAGCAUCUCAAGUUUCACAUAGGAGCUUCCGGAUUCGAAAUCUGACUAUACCGGCU
RNAcentral lists this long non-coding RNA (472 nucleotides) under Ricinus communis (castor bean). RNAcentral describes it as "long non-coding RNA (RCOM_LNC000773)". The record is from RNAcentral. Lineage: Eukaryota; Viridiplantae; Streptophyta; Magnoliopsida; Malpighiales; Euphorbiaceae.